Long non-coding RNA from Dreissena polymorpha, 643 nucleotides. RefSeq lists it as uncharacterized. The transcript is spliced from 2 exons. Lineage: Eukaryota; Metazoa; Mollusca; Bivalvia; Myida; Dreissenidae. The record is from RefSeq and is a predicted model, not a curated record.
GCAAAUGUUUUCAUUAAAAUAUUAUCAUUUGAUAGUACUUUUAUCUGUUUAAUUUAUAUAAUUUUUCUUUUCAGAGACGGAUCGAACAUGUCGCGAGGGUGCUUUUUGAUGCUCAUCGUCCUUCUCUGCCUUAUAGGUGGCUCGAACCAGGGCCCGAUCAUUGGACGCAACACGUGUUUACGUGUGGUUUGUCCUUUACCUUGCCCAUUUGGCUUUGAGCGCCCCCAUUUCUGUUGUACCUGCGGACCAGAUCAGAUAGGCGGAUCAGAACCGCCAAUUGGAAUAUGAACAAAAGAGGAAAAUACAGGUUCAAUUGAUUUUGCGGCAAUAUGCAACUACGCUUUAUGUGAGGACUUUUCUGUAAAUGAUUUUAUUCUGCGUUCCAAAAUGCAUGUUCAAUAAAAUUCUUAAAUAAAGAUACAUGGACAAUACUAAAUUAAUACAAUUACUGGAAAGUGUAUCCUUGCCUUAUUUUGUCUUGAAAAGUAGGAUUAACAAUUAAUCAAUUAUAUAUUUAUUUCUUAAUGCAUCCGACUUUUUAUAGUGUUGAUAGCAAGUAUGAUAGUAAUAUUACAAACAUAUUUUAAAAGUUAUAUCAAAAAUAAAAUAAUGAGCUACUAAUAAAAAGCUUCAAAGUAAGUUA